RNAcentral lists this ribosomal RNA (497 nucleotides) under uncultured bacterium. Its description in RNAcentral is "partial 16S ribosomal RNA". It matches the Rfam family "Bacterial small subunit ribosomal RNA", at positions 28 to 507 of the family's 1533-position model. The record is from RNAcentral.
GAUGAACGCUGGCGGCGUGCCUAAUACAUGCAAGUCGAGCGAACAGACGAGGAGCUUGCUCCUCUGACGUUAGCGGCGGACGGGUGAGUAACACGUGGAUAACCUACCUAUAAGACUGGGAUAACUUCGGGAAACCGGAGCUAAUACCGGAUAAUAUAUUGAACCGCAUGGUUCAAUAGUGAAAGACGGUUUUGCUGUCACUUAUAGAUGGAUCCGCGCCGCAUUAGCUAGUUGGUAAGGUAACGGCUUACCAAGGCAACGAUGCGUAGCCGACCUGAGAGGGUGAUCGGCCACACUGGAACUGAGACACGGUCCAGACUCCUACGGGAGGCAGCAGUAGGGAAUCUUCCGCAAUGGGCGAAAGCCUGACGGAGCAACGCCGCGUGAGUGAUGAAGGUCUUCGGAUCGUAAAACUCUGUUAUUAGGGAAGAACAAAUGUGUAAGUAACUAUGCACGUCUUGACGGUACCUAAUCAGAAAGCCCCGGCUACCUACGUG